GGGUCAGUAGGUUGGUCGUGCCACCGGUACGUACUGGUCUCACUGAUUCCUCCUUCCUGAAUAACCGUAAUGCCAUUAAUUUGGUGUUGCGGGGAAACAGGACUGUUACUUUGAAAAAAUUAGAGCGUUUAAAGCAAGCUAACGCUUGAAUACAUUAGCAUGGAAUAAUGAAAUAGGACGAUCGAUCCUAUUUUGUUGGUUUCUAGGAUUGACGUA
Molecule: ribosomal RNA, 216 nt
Filed under: Glomeromycotina sp.
Lineage: Eukaryota; Fungi; Glomeromycota
Description: partial small subunit ribosomal RNA
Rfam family: Eukaryotic small subunit ribosomal RNA (bases 40-216)
Source: RNAcentral